GACGAACGUUGGCGGCGUGCUUAAUACAUGCAAGUCAACUGAAGCAGUGGUAGCAAUAUCGCUGUGGAGGUGGCGCACGGGUGAGUAACACGUAGGUAAUCUGCCUUCAGGUCUGGCAUAACUCCGGGAAACCGGGGCUAGUAGCAGAUGAUGCAGCGGCUCGACAUCGAGACAGUUGUUAAAGCUAUGGCGCCUGAAGAUGAGCCUGCGUCUGAUUAGCUAGUUGGCGGGGUAACGGCCCACCAAGGCAACGAUCAGUAGCUGGUCUGAGAGGAUGAUCAGCCACACUGGAACUGAGACACGGUCCAGACUCCUACGGGAGGCAGCAGUAAGGAAUAUUGCUCAAUGGGAGAAAUCCUGAAGCAGCAACGCCGCGUGAGGGACGAAGGGCUUUUGCUUGUAAACCUCUGUAGUGAGAGAAAAAAAUCCCAAUCUUUGGGACAUGAUGGUACCUCAAAAGUAAGCCCCGGCUAACUACGUG
RNAcentral lists this ribosomal RNA (481 nucleotides) under uncultured bacterium. RNAcentral describes it as "partial 16S ribosomal RNA". It matches the Rfam family "Bacterial small subunit ribosomal RNA", at positions 28 to 507 of the family's 1533-position model. The record is from RNAcentral.